This 435-nucleotide ribosomal RNA is filed under the name uncultured bacterium. Its description in RNAcentral is "partial 16S ribosomal RNA". It matches the Rfam family "Bacterial small subunit ribosomal RNA", at positions 29 to 507 of the family's 1533-position model. The record is from RNAcentral.
AGCGAACGCUGGCGGCAGGCUUAACACAUGCAAGUCGAGCGGGCACCUUCGGGUGUCAGCGGCAGACGGGUGAGUAACACGGGGGAACGUACCCUUCGGUUCGGAAUAACGCUGGGAAACUAGCGCUAAUACCGGAUACGCCCUUAUGGGGAAAGGUUUACUGCGGAAGGAUCGGCCCGCGUCUGAUUAGCGAGUUGGUGGGGUAACGGCCUACCAAGGCGACGAUCAGGAGCUGGUCUGAGAGGAUGAUCAGCCACACUGGGACUGAGAAACGGCCCGGACUCCUACGGGAGGCGGGAGUGGGGGAUAUUGGACAGUCGGCGCAAGCCUGAACCAGCCAGGCCGCGUGAGUGAUGAUGGCCUUAGGGUUGUAAAGCUCUUUUGUCCGGGACGAUAAUGACGGUACCGUAAGAAUAAGCCCCGGCUAACUUCGUG